Molecule: ribosomal RNA, 252 nt
Filed under: uncultured bacterium
Lineage: Bacteria
Description: partial 16S ribosomal RNA
Rfam family: Bacterial small subunit ribosomal RNA
Source: RNAcentral
UACGGAGGGGGCUAGCGUUGUUCGGAAUUACUGGGCGUAAAGCGCACGUAGGCGGCUUUGUAAGUUAGAGGUGAAAGCCCAGAGCUCAACUCUGGAACUGCCUUUAAGACUGCAUCGCUUGAAUUGUGGAGAGGUAAGUGGAAUUCCGAGUGUAGAGGUGAAAUUCGUAGAUAUUCGGAAGAACCCCAGGGGCGAGGGGGCUUACUGGACACAUAUUGACGCUGAGGUGCGAAAGCGUGGGGAGCAAACAGG